This is a long non-coding RNA of Phyllopteryx taeniolatus (common seadragon), 646 nucleotides long. RefSeq lists it as uncharacterized. Lineage: Eukaryota; Metazoa; Chordata; Actinopteri; Syngnathiformes; Syngnathidae. The transcript has 3 exons. The record is from RefSeq and is a predicted model, not a curated record.
GGAACAAACACUGGUGUGUCAGCGCUGUGCCGAGCACACAAGGGUGAAAGCCCGUAUUAGUGCGUGUAUUGCUUUAAGAAGAAAAUCAUGUGACCGAUACAGGAACUGUGUCGUUUGGAUGUGCCGUGCCAAAUUGUGUUUAUAAGGAAACAAACAGUGUCGACAUGUUCUGGAUUUGUUGGAUGGACUUUUGCUGUUGCUGUUGGAUUUUUUAUUUUUUUCUUGCCCUCACCUUGUUCCACUGACUUCAUGGAUCGUUCCAAGAAGUUUUCCCCAGUCUUUUGAUGCCAAAUAAGGUGAACUGCUCCACAGAGCUAUCUUACAUCAAUAAGAGCACUUCAUCAAUGCUGAGGCAUUAUAGAGCUCGGCAUGGCAAUGUAGAAUUGGCAGAUACUCAUUUCCUCACGAGCAAGCAGUGGAUGAGGCUGUGGUCAACAUGAUCAUCAAAGAGUGUCAGCCACUCACCAUUGUUGAAAAUGAGGGAUUCAGGGAGCUCCUGAAACUUAUCAACUCGCACUUAAAUUUUUAUGCUCACCAUCGUCAUCUGUACCCUGUGAAAGUUUUUUUUCUAAGGCAGGAGAACUCGUGUCUAAGAGGAGAAAUCGCCUUGGAGCAAAGACACUUCAAAAACCUUUGUUCCUCAAUA